This 107-nucleotide non-coding RNA is filed under the name uncultured Niallia sp. Its description in RNAcentral is "SAM riboswitch (S box leader)". It matches the Rfam family "SAM riboswitch aptamer (S box leader)". Rfam says of the family: The SAM riboswitch is found upstream of a number of genes which code for proteins involved in methionine or cysteine biosynthesis in Gram-positive bacteria. The SAM riboswitch acts at the level of transcription termination control. The record is from RNAcentral. Lineage: Bacteria; Bacillati; Bacillota; Bacilli; Caryophanales; Bacillaceae.
UCUUAUCCAGAGAGACGGAGGGACAGGCCCGAAGAAGUCUCGGCAGCGGAUUUAUUAAAUACCGUGCCAAUUCCUGCAAAUGCUAAAUUAGCAUUUGAAAGAUGAGA